This 77-nucleotide transfer RNA is filed under the name Terrimicrobium sacchariphilum. RNAcentral's name for it is "tRNA-Pro". It matches the Rfam family "tRNA". Rfam says of the family: Transfer RNA (tRNA) molecules are approximately 80 nucleotides in length. RNAcentral also lists the same sequence under 4 other names. The record is from RNAcentral. Lineage: Bacteria; Pseudomonadati; Verrucomicrobiota; Terrimicrobiia; Terrimicrobiales; Terrimicrobiaceae.
CGGGCCGUGGCUCAGCUUGGUAGAGCGCCUCGUUCGGGACGAGGAGGCCGCGAGUUCGAAUCUCGCCGGCCCGACCA